AGAUAGGUCCAUCAAUGGCUACCACAAGGUGUGCAGGUAAGGUGUCCCUAGCCUAUCUUAAAAGGCUGUGUUUGGAUGGGACAUCAGUCUUUCUGGGCUCAGUUCAUAGCAAAGAUGCUCCUGAAGUGAUGAACAGGAAUGAAGACAAAGAUGGAGGAAUCCCAGGGGCCGUCUUUAUACACUUGCCCAUGAGGAAGGAAUUCCAUUGCUCUCACUUGAUAUAUAUCAUGCCAAUUCUUUUCCAGAAUAUGAUCUGAGGAAGUGGGUCUGGCCUACGAACCCCAUCACCUAAUAAACCAUCUUGUUAGUCUUUAAAGUGCUAUAUAGUUUUUCCUUUUGUUUUAGCAAGAUCAGACUAACACGGCUACCUCUCUAUUACUAUCCCAAAUUGGAGUUUGUUACUUGAGCAAGUCACCUGUCCAUGCAUGAGUCAGUUCUUUUUAAGCAAGCAGCUCUGGCUUACUUACUGGUCUUCAGAUGUGGAUUGGCACCACUUGAGGUGCAUUGUCAGUGAAGUACUGCUAUUUAUUUGACUAGCAGCCUCUGUAGGUAGGCGAAGCCUGCUGAUAAUCUCCCAGAAGCAAACAUGUGAAGUACAAGUACAUAACCAUUCACAUCCCAAAUGAGUAUUGGCUAACUGGUAGGGGCUGGAGCAGCUCCCCACCCACCACAGGCAGGGAGCUGCUAUAGCCUUGCAGGGCCCACCACAUGGACCAGCUGCUCCAGCCAGCCAGAACUGUCCCUGUCUGUGGCAGGCCUAGUCCAGGUGGCAUGCCACAGGCAGGAGCUGCUCUGACUUGCCGGAGCAACCUUUGUGCAUGGUGGAUGGGCCACUCCAGCUGGAGGGUGCUCCUGGUUGCUCCCCCCCUUCAAUUAGGUAACUGGUUAAACAUGUUUAGCCAGUUAACCAAUUAAGUGGGAUUUGACAUCCCUAACACUCAUAACUUCAAAUGCAAAAAAUGAUACAUGCAUGAGUGGUAUAAACAGAAUCAUCGAAUCAUAAGUCUCUAGUCAUCCCACUUAGACCAUUUGGCUCAAGAGUUGGUGCAAACAUAUCCCAGUGGUUGCAACAAUGUUUGUAUGUUCACAUGAGAAUUCAGUGUCACACCCUGUCCCAGCAGCUUUCAAAGAUGGAGACAUACUAUUUUCUGAUUUAGAAAAUACAUGUCAGGUUUGUCUUUCCUUUGACAGUGCCAGCACCAUGUGCUGGUGGGGAUGAGCAGACAGGAUAAUCAUGUCAGUUUCCAACUGCAGGCAGGAUUGUGUCAUUUGUGCCCCUCUCCACUGGGAUUUGCACUAUGGCAUUACAAGCAUGGCCUCUUCAAUGAGCACAGAGAAUGGCCUCCCUGGGACUACUAGCAGCCCUUGUGAAAAAUCACCACUCAGUAUUUGAGGGAGGAAAUGGUUCAACCAACCAAUGGGCCAGUCAUUUCUGCUUGUCUCUUAUGGGAAGUGAAAUGAGGAAAGCAGAAGUUCAUUGUUCUCCAGCAAGACAAUAAUCCUAUUGAGAGCUGUGGAACAAGGUACUGUAAAGCUGCGAGUCUCACUGAAUCAGAGGGGUUUGUGCGCAAUGAGCCUCCAGGCAACUUUCAGGAAUAAAAGUAAGAUGAAUCUGUGUUCACAUGCUAUUAGUCUGCGGUAGAUUUCUUUCUGAUGGUGUUAUAUUCCCUGAGAACAUCAGGUCUGACCUGAACUGUGUCAUCAGAACCUCCCAUUCUGUGUUAUCAGAACCUCCACCAACUUCUGCAGGGUCAGUCGGGCACACUGGACUACCAAGACGCCCACCAAUCCCACUGGGAACAGACAGUGAUCUGCCACUCCCAGGAUUGAACCUAACCACUCCAAGCUGACGAUGAACCAAUGCUGCAUCCAAGCUUCCAACCAAGACAGUUCCAGUGGAUUCUGAAGUUAGGCAAAACUAGGUUAACCCUUUCUACAUCCUGCCUGGAGAAGGGCUCUUUUUACACACAUACAAGGAUUCUGCCGAAAGUUUUAUUUCCUUUGAAAACAAUGACGACAUAUUGAGGAAUUGGAGCUAUAAACAGAAUACCAAAUAUCAUGAGGCUAUCAAUGAAAAUCAUGAAAGCUGACAACCCGGCUAUUGGCGGAGUGAGGACUACUCGAUGUGAUUACAGGGAAGAAUAUACAUAGAUAUACAGCCCUGGAAUUCUGGCUGGUUAAACAACAUGAAUUUUUGCCAUCCAGUGUCACUACUGGUGGCAGUGUCAAAAUGCAGCACUUAACAGUGACAUCUACUUCCUCAGCAAAUGCAAGAAAAAAAACCAUAAUCUUUAGAGGACUUACCAUCUAUAACCCUCUGACUACCACAUACAACUCCAAAUCACCUUGGAUGGGCUCUUGCAAUGUUUGUUAACUUCUUUUGCUUAACAAUUUGUUCCAUCUUGUAUUUAUCUCUGAUGGUUACAUUUCCCAGACUUGAAGAAGAGCUCUGUGUAAGCUCGAAAUUUGUCUCUUUCACCAGCAGAAGGUAGUCCAAUAAAAGACAUGAACUCACCCACAUGCUAUUGAAAUUCAGUGGAAGUUGAGUGCCUAACUCCCUUAGGCUCCUUGGAAAAUAUUAGAAUCUU
Molecule: non-coding RNA, 2588 nt
Organism: Pelodiscus sinensis (Chinese soft-shelled turtle)
Lineage: Eukaryota; Metazoa; Chordata; Testudines; Trionychidae
Source: RefSeq, a predicted model, not a curated record